This 253-nucleotide ribosomal RNA is filed under the name uncultured bacterium. Its description in RNAcentral is "partial 16S ribosomal RNA". It matches the Rfam family "Bacterial small subunit ribosomal RNA", at positions 524 to 776 of the family's 1533-position model. The record is from RNAcentral.
UACGUAGGGUGCAAGCGUUGUCCGGAAUUAUUGGGCGUAAAGAGCUCGUAGGCGGUUUGUCGCGUCUGCUGUGAAAGCCCGGGGCUUAACCCCGGGUCUGCAUUCGAUACGGGCAGGCUAGAGUGUGGUAGGGGAGAUCGGAAUUCCUGGUGUAGCGGUGAAAUGCGCAGAUAUCAGGAGGAACACCGGUGGCGAAGGCGGAUCUCUGGGCCAUUACUGACGCUGAGGAGCGAAAGCGUGGGGAGCGAACAGG